Molecule: ribosomal RNA, 255 nt
Filed under: uncultured bacterium
Lineage: Bacteria
Description: partial 16S ribosomal RNA
Rfam family: Bacterial small subunit ribosomal RNA
Source: RNAcentral
UACGAAGGGUGCAAGCGUUACUCGGAAUUACUGGGCGUAAAGCGUGCGUAGGUGGUGAGUUAAGUCUGUCGUGAAAGCCCCGGGCUCAACCUGGGAAUUGGCGAUGGAUACUGGCUCGCUAGAGUGCGGUAGAGGAGAGUGGAAUUCCUGGUGUAGCGGUAGAAAUGCGUAGAUAUCAGGAGGAACACCGUGGUGUAGACGGCUCUCGUGGACCGUAACUGACGCUGAGGCACGAAAGCGUGGGUAGCAAACAGG